AACGAACGCUGGCGGCAGGCCUAACACAUGCAAGUCGAACGCCGUAGCAAUACGGAGUGGCAGACGGGUGAGUAACGCGUGGGAACAUACCCCUCGGUUCGGAAUAACUCAGGGAAACUUGAGCUAAUACCGGAUACGUCCGAUGUUUUAAUCGACCUUGGAGAAAGAUUUAUCGCCGGAGGAUUGGCCCGCGUCUGAUUAGCUUGUUGGUGAGGUAAUGGCUCACCAAGGCGACGANCAGUAGCUGGUCUGAGAGGAUGAUCAGCCACAUUGGGACUGAGACA
This 284-nucleotide ribosomal RNA is filed under the name uncultured bacterium. Its description in RNAcentral is "partial 16S ribosomal RNA". It matches the Rfam family "Bacterial small subunit ribosomal RNA", at positions 29 to 326 of the family's 1533-position model. The record is from RNAcentral.